GCAUUGUCCCUCUCUUCUCUCUCUUUCCCUUCAUCCACAAAAAUGGCAAACCCUAGCCUCCCCUUUAGCCAUGGACAAAGAUUGUCCCUUCCCCUUCCCGUGUAAAACUCGUCUAUUUGUGAACUCUAACAGACCCGUCAUUUUCCGUUCAACACAUAUAGUAAAUCGCAGAGCUUCUUUCGAUUCUACAGUCCAUGCAUGGCCAUUUGGGGAAAAGAAUUAAUGUUCAUCAGUGUUAAGCCGUAGGUAAGAGUCGUCGUCUUCCUCCGUUGUCUCUUUUGGAUCUGAAAAUGAUUUAAUGAGUUUUGUCCAUUUGUGAAUUAAAAAAUCAUCUCAUUCGUCUGUUUCGUUGAUUUUCGAGUACAGACUUUAAAUAAAAUUUGUCUCCUUCUUCUGGCUUUCUGAUCAGCAACAUAAAGUACUCUCACGUUUUUUGGUAUUUUGAACGGAGAGUUGACCUUGAAAAGAUCCCACCCAAUUUUUCAGUUUUCAAACCAUAGAGAAACCCUAGAUUUUCCCCUAUAAAUAAUCGUUGCUGGGUUCAUUUUUAAGUGAAAAAGAGAGAAAAAGUGGUUUUACCCGCCAUAAGAUCCCUAAAAAAUAACAAGUUUUGAAACCCCGAAAAUCUCUAGAAAAUAUAAGUCUUUUAGUCGCCUAGAAUUCCCUAAAAUAUUAGUUUCUGUUAGCAGUUGCAAUAUUGUUCAGUGGCAAGUCACAAAAUAUUAAAUCCUGUUCUGUUUUUUUUGCUUUGGGUGUUUAUUUGAAUUCGGGCAUACGCAAGUCCGAAUUUCGAAGUGUUUCGAGGUAAAUCGGAAGCUCGAGCCCCAUUUCGCUGCACCCGAAGAAGCGGACGUUGUCAAAUAUAGUAACCCAACAAGGUUGGGGUCGAAUCCCACAGGGAAUAUGGAGAGAAAAGAGUACUAAUCGUAUGCAAUACUAGUCUUUAAAAGCUUUAAUCCUAUUUCUGAUAGUUUGAAAUAGUUGUUGAAUAAUGUAAUUAAGUAUUUUGACUGAAAUUGUAUUUAAUGCGAAAUAGAGACUAAGGUUGUGUUCCCCAAUUUGAUUAGAUAUUAUGCUUCAGGUUUCAAUGUGAUAUACUUCUAAUGGUUGUUCUAUGAAUAUGCACUUGGUCUGUUAAGAACU
Long non-coding RNA from Lycium barbarum (goji berry), 1143 nucleotides. RefSeq lists it as uncharacterized. The transcript has 2 exons. The record is from RefSeq and is a predicted model, not a curated record. Lineage: Eukaryota; Viridiplantae; Streptophyta; Magnoliopsida; Solanales; Solanaceae.